Non-coding RNA from Capsicum annuum, 111 nucleotides. Lineage: Eukaryota; Viridiplantae; Streptophyta; Magnoliopsida; Solanales; Solanaceae. The record is from Rfam.
AGACUAUUAAUGAUGUGGACAAUCUCAUAGAAGAUCCUUGAAAUAUUCCCAAGCUUGAUAAAUAUUUUUAUCAGACUUCUGUUUGAAGCUUAUUAUCUCACUGUGAAGUCU